UGCGGAUAAAUUUAUUUAUGGUAGGGGAGCGUUCUAUGUAGGGUGAAGCGUUAGCGUAAGCGGACGUGGACAGCAUAGAAGUGAGAAUGUCGGCUUGAGUAGCGAAAACAUGGGUGAGAAUCCCAUGCCCCGAAACCCUAAGGGUUCCUCCGGCAGGCUCGUCCGCGGAGGGUUAGUCUGGACCUAAGGCGAGGCCGAAAGGCGUAGUCGAUGGAUAACAGGUCAAUAUUCCUGUACCAGAUGUGUUUUGAGAAGGGGGACGGAGAAGGCUAACCAGGCCAGAUGUUGGUUACUGGUUCAAGCGUUCGAGGCUUUGAGAGAUGGAGAAAACAUCUUGAGCUAAGGCGUGAGUACGAGCUGCUACGGCAGCGAAGUUGGUGAUGUCAUGCUUCCAAGAAAAGCCCUAUACUCGUUAAGACACAAAUGCCAGUACCCGAAACCGACACAGGUGGGGUGGUAGAGAAUACCGAGGGGCGCGAGAUAACUCUCUCUAAGGAACUCGGCAAAAUGGCCCCGUAACUUCGGGAGAAGGGGUGCCAGCGAGAGCUGGUCGCAGUGAAGAGGCGCAAGCGACUGUUUACCAAAAACACAGGUCUCCGCUAAGUCGCAAGACGAUGUAUGGGGGCUGACACCUGCCCAGUGCCGGAAGGUUAAGGAAGCUGGUUAGCUUUUAGUGAAGCUGGCGACUGAAGCCCCGGUGAACGGCGGCCGUAACUAUAACGGUCCUAAGGUAGCGAAAUUCCUUGUCGGGUAAGUUCCGACCCGCACGAAAGGUGUAACGAUUUGCGCGCUGUCUCGGAGAGAGGCUCGGCGAAAUAGAAUUGUCUGUGAAGAUGCGGACUACAUACACCCGGACAGAAAGACCCUAUGAAGCUUUACUGUAGUUUGAUAUUGUGCUCGGGCUCUGAAUGCGCAGAAUAGGUGGGAGACGUUGAAAUAGUGCUUGUGGGUACUAUUGAGUCAUCGGUGAGAUACCACUCUUUUAGAGCUAGGGUUCUAACGCUUACCCGUUAUCCGGGAAGCGGACAGUAUCUGAUGGGCAGUUUGACUGGGGCGGUCGCCUCCUAAAAGGUAACGGAGGCGCACAAAGGUUCCCUCAGGCUGGUUGGAAAUCAGUCGUUGAGUGCAAAAGCAGAAGGGAGCUUGACUGUGAGACCUACAAGUCGAACAGGGACGAAAGUCGGUUUUAGUGAUCCGACGGUUCUGCGUGGAAGGGCCGUCGCUCAACGGAUAAAAGUUACUCUAGGGAUAACAGGCUGAUCUCCCCCAAGAGUUCACAUCGACGGGGAGGUUUGGCACCUCGAUGUCGGCUCAUCGCAACCUGGGGCUGAAGUCGGUCCCAAGGGUUGGGCUGUUCGCCCAUUAAAGCGGUACGCGAGCUGGGUUCAGAACGUCGUGAGACAGUUCGGUCCAUAUCCGGUGUAUGCGCAGGAAUAUUGAGAGGAUUUCUCCCUAGUACGAGAGGACCGGGAGGAACGCACCUCUGGUGUGCCAGUUAUCGUGCCAACGGUAAACGCUGGGUAGCCAUGUGCGGAGUGGAUAACCGCUGAAAGCAUCUAAGUGGGAAGCCCACCUCAAGAUGAGUAUUGCCAUGGCUUAAGCCAGUAAGGUCACGGGAAGAACACCCGUUGAUAGGCUCUACGUGGAAGCUUGGUAACAAGUGCAGCGGAGGAGUACUAAUAGACCGAGGGCUUGACCAA
This 1700-nucleotide ribosomal RNA is filed under the name Prochlorococcus sp. AH-736-K21. RNAcentral's name for it is "partial 23S ribosomal RNA". It matches the Rfam family "Bacterial large subunit ribosomal RNA", at positions 1201 to 2925 of the family's 2925-position model. The record is from RNAcentral. Lineage: Bacteria; Bacillati; Cyanobacteriota; Cyanophyceae; Synechococcales; Prochlorococcaceae.